UGAAAAUGCACUUGGUAAUCGUUUACCAUGAGGUGGUAAACGAUUACGUGAGUGAAAUGGGCUUUUUGUACAGAGAGUCCUUCACAGGGCACCCAUUUUUUGCACACAGGACACCAUUUGUGUUAAAUCUUCACUUGUGGUCAUAAUUGGUGAGGUUCUUGAUGAUUUGUGGAUAAGGAUGUGUGUUGGGGUAUGAUAGGUCAUUUUGGGGAAACCCAUUUCCUUGUAGGAGGGUCUUAUGUUGGGUGAUAGUGGUGGGAUGAAGUUAUGAGUGAAUUGCUGUGAAAAAGCACUUGGUAAUCGUUUACCAUGAGGUGGUAAACGAUUACGCGAAUGAAAUGGGAUUUUUGUACAGAAAGUCCUUCACAGGGCACCCAUUUUUUGUACACAGGACACCA
Molecule: long non-coding RNA, 398 nt
Filed under: Vigna radiata
Lineage: Eukaryota; Viridiplantae; Streptophyta; Magnoliopsida; Fabales; Fabaceae
Description: long non-coding RNA (VRAD_LNC015797)
Source: RNAcentral